This 186-nucleotide ribosomal RNA is filed under the name Pseudoalteromonas shioyasakiensis. RNAcentral's name for it is "partial 16S ribosomal RNA". It matches the Rfam family "Bacterial small subunit ribosomal RNA", at positions 1 to 178 of the family's 1533-position model. Lineage: Bacteria; Pseudomonadati; Pseudomonadota; Gammaproteobacteria; Alteromonadales; Pseudoalteromonadaceae. The record is from RNAcentral.
UUUAAUUGAAGAGUUUGAUCAUGGCUCAGAUUGAACGCUGGCGGCAGGCCUAACACAUGCAAGUCGAGCGGAAACGAAGAGGUGCUUGCACCUUUGGCGUCGAGCGGCGGACGGGUGAGUAAUGCUUGGGAAUAUGCCUUAUGGUGGGGGACAACAGUUGGAAACGACUGCUAAUACCGCAUGAUG